Amborella trichopoda is the source of this 1180-nucleotide non-coding RNA. Lineage: Eukaryota; Viridiplantae; Streptophyta; Magnoliopsida; Amborellales; Amborellaceae. The record is from RefSeq and is a predicted model, not a curated record.
UCACAACCCUCACCCAUGUCCUUUUAUCUUCCCCCCUCUCCCUCUUAUCUUUAACCCCUUAUCCUCUCUCACCCCGCUCCUCACUGAGUCUUGAGAAUUCAGAGAAAACCCACUUCGUUUCUUCUCGCUGCAUUUCUCUCCAUAACAGUAGAGAGAGAAAGAGAAAAGAGAGAGAGAGAGAGAGGAAAAUGGCCGCUACUUUCUCCACCAACUCGCUCCUCCACCUCAGCUCCUCUCUCAACCAAAAACCCACAUCUCCAAACCUCAGAAUAACCCAAAUUUCCAUGCGCCCAACUCGAUGGACCCAUGGUUUCCCUGCCAUUGUUAAGGCCACCGCUGCUACUUCCCCCAAGAUAGAGAAAUUGGGUGAAGAGAUUUCCGGCCUCACUCUUGAAGAGGCUCGAGGCCUUGUCGAUUGGUUACAGGACAAGCUCGGUGUCUCUGCGGCUUCUUUCGCACCUGCUAUUGCAGUUCCGGGUGUUGCAGGUGGAGCUGCUGAUGCUUCAGCUGCUCCUGUUGUUGAAGAGAAGACUGAGUUCGAUGUAGUUAUUGAGGAGGUUCCCAGUAAUGUUCGUAUAGCCACCAUUAAAGUGGUUAGAGCUCUGACGAACUUGGCUUUGAAGGAGGCUAAGGACCUUAUUGAGGGGUUACCCAAGAAGUUCAGAGAGGGGAUUUCGAAGGAGGAAGCAGAGGAUGCGAAGAAGCAGCUCGAGGCGGUGGGGGCAAAGAUCUCAAUUGUUUGAGUUCUAGUUUGUAAGAAGGGUAUAAUAUUCAAAACUACAGCUCUUUAAAACAAGUCAGUGCAAGUGCUUGCAAUUGCUUAGAGGGUUUUACCUGGAAUCAUGUAACUAAGUGCACAAGGCUUCUGUCUUAGGUGGUUGCAUCUUGGGGAGUGCUUAUUGUAUUUGGAUUAUUCGAAAUCUGUUUGCUGGCGUUGACAGGCAUGUGAAUUCCAGUGAAAUACCACAGACAUGAAAUUUGCUCGUAGAUAACAGACUAUACUGCAUCUUGAGGUUUCUUUCGUAGAAUGAAUUUUGACUCAUGAUAUUAUAACUAGACGCUAAGCUACUAUUGAGCUUGAGAUGAAGUGAGGUAUGAGAACAAUAGUGGAUCUUUUGCAUUAUGUAGUUUGUACUGCAUAACUGCUUUAGAUAAUUUUUUGUUCCUAGCUCUUAUGCAA